GGGAAGCUGGCUCAGUGGUAGAGUGCUUGCCUUGCAUGCAUGAGGCCCUGGGUUCAAUUCCUCAGCACCACA
Non-coding RNA from Dipodomys ordii (Ord's kangaroo rat), 72 nucleotides. NCBI's taxonomy places the organism in Eukaryota, Metazoa, Chordata, Mammalia, Rodentia, Heteromyidae. The record is from Rfam.